AACGAACGCUGGCGGCAUGCCUAACACAUGCAAGUCGAACGAGACCUUCGGGUCUAGUGGCGCACGGGUGCGUAACGCGUGGGAACCUGCCCUUAGGUUCGGAAUAACUCCCCGAAAGGGGUGCUAAUACCGGUUAAUGUCUUUGGACAAAAGAUUUAUCGCCUUUGGAUGGGCCCGCGUUGGAUUAGCUAGUUGGUAGGGUAAAGGCCUACCAAGGCGACGAUCCUUACCUGCUCUGAGAGGGUGAUCAGCAACACUGGCACUGAGAAAGGUCCCAGACGCAACAGGGGGCAAGGGUUGGGAAAUAUUGGCAAACGGGCGAAGGCCUGGACCAACACCGCAGGGGGAGUAAUCAGGGCUUAAGGGUGGAAAGCUCUUUUAACCGGGAUGAUAAUGACAGUACCGGGAGAAUAAGCUCCGACUAACUCCGUG
This 432-nucleotide ribosomal RNA is filed under the name uncultured bacterium. Its description in RNAcentral is "partial 16S ribosomal RNA". It matches the Rfam family "Bacterial small subunit ribosomal RNA", at positions 29 to 507 of the family's 1533-position model. The record is from RNAcentral.